This is a long non-coding RNA of Ipomoea nil (Japanese morning glory), 267 nucleotides long. RefSeq lists it as uncharacterized. The record is from RefSeq and is a predicted model, not a curated record. NCBI's taxonomy places the organism in Eukaryota, Viridiplantae, Streptophyta, Magnoliopsida, Solanales, Convolvulaceae. The transcript is spliced from 3 exons.
UGGCUAAACCAGACAUUUGGAUUUGGACAAAAGCUAAGAAGUUCAAUAAGAUAUUUGCAAAAAAGUCUUGCUCUGCCAAAUGCUGACUACCCACCCAGAAUUACAUCUUCCAGCCACAAACAGGUUAACCACUCCAGAUUCUGUCUAAGAUUAGUAUAAUUUGCUUUUGUUAACCACUCCAGAUUUUGUCUAAGAUUAAUAUAGAUUGCUUUUAUCAACAUCCCAUUCUUAAAGAAAAAAAAUCAUCAUUUUUUUUUAUUGUGUGUG